CGGAGGUGCGGCGUGCUAUACAUGCAAGUCGAACGAACUCUGGUAUUGAUUGGUGCUUGCAUCAUGAUUUACAUUUGAGUGAGUGGCGAACUGGUGAGUAACACGUGGGAAACCUGCCCAGAAGCGGGGGAUAACACCUGGAAACAGAUGCUAAUACCGCAUAACAACUUGGACCGCAUGGUCCGAGCUUGAAAGAUGGCUUCGGCUAUCACUUUUGGAUGGUCCCGCGGCGUAUUAGCUAGAUGGUGGGGUAACGGCUCACCAUGGCAAUGAUACGUAGCCGACCUGAGAGGGUAAUUCGGCCACCAUUGGGACUGGAGGACACGGCCCAAACUCCUACGGGAGGCAGCAGUAGGGAAUCUUCCACAAUGGACGAAAGUCUGAUGGAGCAACGCCGCGUGAGUGAAGAAGGGUUUCGGCUCGUAAAACUCUGUUGUUAAAGAAGAACAUAUCUGAGAGUAACUGUUCAGGUAUUGACGGUAUUUAACCAGAAAGCCACGGCUAACUACGUGCCAGCAGCCGCGGUAAUACGUAGGUGGCAAGCGUUGUCCGGAUUUAUUGGGCGUAAAGCGAGCGCAGGCGGUUUUUUAAGUCUGAUGUGAAAGCCUUCGGCUCAACCGAAGAAGUGCAUCGGAAACUGGGAAACUUGAGUGCAGAAGAGGACAGUGGAACUCCAUGUGUAGCGGUGAAAUGCGUAGAUAUAUGGAAGAACACCAGUGGCGAAGGCGGCUGUCUGGUCUGUAACUGACGCUGAGGCUCGAAAGUAUGGGUAGCAAACAGGAUUAGAUACCCUGGUAGUCCAUACCGUAAACGAUGAAUGCUAAGUGUUGGAGGGUUUCCGCCCUUCAGUGCUGCAGCUAACGCAUUAAGCAUUCCGCCUGGGGAGUACGGCCGCAAGGCUGAAACUCAAAGGAAUUGACGGGGGCCCGCACAAGCGGUGGAGCAUGUGGUUUAAUUCGAAGCUACGCGAAGAACCUUACCAGGUCUUGACAUACUAUGCAAAUCUAAGAGAUUAGACGUUCCCUUUCGGGGACAUGGAUACAGGUGGUGCAUGGUUGUCGUCAGCUCGUGUCGUGAGAUGUUGGGUUAAGUCCCGCAACGAGCGCAACCCUUAUUAUCAGUUGCCAGCAUUAAGUUGGGCACUCUGGUGAGACUGCCGGUGACAAACCGGAGGAAG
This 1177-nucleotide ribosomal RNA is filed under the name Lactiplantibacillus plantarum. RNAcentral describes it as "bacterial SSU rRNA". It matches the Rfam family "Bacterial small subunit ribosomal RNA", at positions 30 to 1172 of the family's 1533-position model. The record is from RNAcentral. Lineage: Bacteria; Bacillati; Bacillota; Bacilli; Lactobacillales; Lactobacillaceae.